AAAUAACCAAGAGAAUGUGUACAUUUUUGAUAAAGUUUCUUAAAUAAGAACAACAAUAUUAUAAAAAUAAAGAAAACGGAGAGCAUUUUAAUCUACAACAACAAAAUAAAUAUAAAAUUGGGAUCUUAAAAAAAAAUAAACUGAAAAUUGUGAAGUAUAUUAAACUACAAAGCUGUAUGAAAGGAGCUAGAGACAAUCUACACGAUGCUGGAGGCAUUGGCACCGGACAAUAGUACUUCUUUUUGGGCACACUUUGGAUGAGCUGUUGGUCUUGUGAAUACACAUACAUACUUCUGUGGUCCUCCUUUAAAUCUUAGACCCUCGCAGCAUUGUGUUUCAUUAUAGGCGGAACUAUUGGAGCUAUCGAUUGCAUACAAGUCUCGAUGUGUCCUGUCACUCUAUAAUGUGCAAAUGAUAAAACCAAAAAUAUUUUAAAUGAAUCGAUAACAAAGUUAAGUAUUUUUGUUUAUGUACUAUGUUUACCAUAUUUUAAAUGUCAAAUUUCCAUAAGCCCGAGAUGAUUCCUAUAUAUAGAGCUCCUCAGAGUUCUGCAAAUAUGUUUUGAAAAUGCAGAUAACAACAUAUUUUUGGCGACACAUAUUAAAUGUUUUUUAUUUAAAAUUAUAUAUCUAGAGGUGAUUCUGGGUAUCCAUUGAGAUCCUGGCUGAUGACUUCUCAACCAAACCAUUCAAAGGGGACCACAAAAGUUCAGUAUAAAGAGAUAUAGUAAAUCACAUAACUAUACUGAACGAUGGUGUCAUUAUAGGAACCUAUCGAAAUGUAGUACAGGCAAAUUCGAAACAUUCGUAAACUAUUGGAAUUAAAAAAAAUUCAAAAAUUUGCAGUGCACUGACAAUAUUUAUUGAAAUUAAUGUACAAUAUAUAAGUAUGUAUUUUUUGGAUGCUUCACUUCCCAAACCGAUUAUCAUAUAAUAUUUUGUAUAAUAUCAGUUAAACGUUUUG
Molecule: long non-coding RNA, 963 nt
Organism: Lucilia sericata (common green bottle fly)
Lineage: Eukaryota; Metazoa; Arthropoda; Insecta; Diptera; Calliphoridae
Exons: 3
Source: RefSeq, a predicted model, not a curated record